GAGUAACGCGUAGGAAUCUGCCUGGUAGUGGGGGACAACGUGGGGAAACUCACGCUAAUACCGCAUACGCCCUACGGGGGAAAGCGGGGGCUCUUCGGACCUCGCGCUAUCAGAUGAGCCUGCGUUAGAUUAGCUAGUUGGUAGGGUAAAGGCCUACCAAGGCGACGAUCUAUAGCUGGUCUGAGAGGACGAUCAGCCACACUGGGACUGAGACACGGCCCAGACUCCUACGGGAGGCAGCAGUGGGGAAUAUUGGACAAUGGGCGCAAGCCUGAUCCAGCAAUACCGCGUGUGUGAAGAAGGCCUUAGGGUUGUAAAGCACUUUCAAUGGGGAGGAAAACCUGCCGGUCAAUACCCGGUAGCUUGACAUUACCUUUAGAAGAAGCACCGGCUAACUCCGUGCCAGCAGCCGCGGUAAUACGGAGGGUGCGAGCGUUAAUCGGAAUUACUGGGCGUAAAGCGUGCGUAGGCGGUUCGUUAAGUCAGAUGUGAAAGCCCCGGGCUUAACCUGGGAACUGCAUUUGAAACUGGCGGACUAGAGUUGAGUAGAGGGGAGUGGAAUUUCAGGUGUAGCGGUGAAAUGCGUAGAUAUCUGAAGGAACACCAGUGGCGAAGGCGACUCCCUGGACUCAAACUGACGCUGAGGUACGAAAGCGUGGGUAGCAAACAGGAUUAGAUACCCUGGUAGUCC
RNAcentral lists this ribosomal RNA (691 nucleotides) under uncultured bacterium. RNAcentral describes it as "bacterial SSU rRNA". It matches the Rfam family "Bacterial small subunit ribosomal RNA", at positions 108 to 796 of the family's 1533-position model. The record is from RNAcentral.